GACGAACGCUGGCGGCGUGCUUAACACAUGCAAGUCGAACGGAAAGGCCCUGCUUGCAGGGUACUCGAGUGUCGAACGGGUGUGUAACACGUGGGUGAUCUGCCCUGCACUUCGGGUUAAGCCUGGGAAACUGUGUCUAAUACCUGAUAGGUGCCAUUUUUAGUGUGAUGGUUGGAAAGUUUUUUCGGUGUUGGAUGAGCUCGCGGCCUAUCAGCUUGUUGGUGGGGUAAUGGCCUACCAAGGCGGCGACGGGUAGCCGGCCUGAGAGGGUGGACGGCCACAAUGGGACUGAGAGACGGACCAGAAGGCGAAGGGAGGAAGAAGUGGGGAAUAAUGCACAAUGGGAGCAAGGCGGAUGCAGAGAGGCGGCGUGGGGGAUGACGGCCUUCGGGUUGAAAAAACGAUUCGAAAGGGAAGAAGCUUUUUGUGACGGUAACUAGAUAAGAAGCAACGGCUAACUACGUG
This 465-nucleotide ribosomal RNA is filed under the name uncultured bacterium. Its description in RNAcentral is "partial 16S ribosomal RNA". It matches the Rfam family "Bacterial small subunit ribosomal RNA", at positions 28 to 507 of the family's 1533-position model. The record is from RNAcentral.